Molecule: ribosomal RNA, 413 nt
Filed under: uncultured bacterium
Lineage: Bacteria
Description: bacterial SSU rRNA
Rfam family: Bacterial small subunit ribosomal RNA
Source: RNAcentral
AGGUGGUUAUGUAAGUCUGAUGUGAAAAUGCAGGGCUCAACUCUGUAUUGCGUUGGAAACUGCAUGACUAGAGUACUGGAGAGGUAAGCGGAACUACAAGUGUAGAGGUGAAAUUCGUAGAUAUUUGUAGGAAUGCCGAUGGGGAAGCCAGCUUACUGGACAGAUACUGACGCUAAAGCGCGAAAGCGUGGGUAGCAAACAGGAUUAGAUACCCUGGUAGUCCAGCGCCGUAAACGAUGAUUACUAGGUGUUGGGGGUCGAACCUCAGCGCCCAAGCUAACGCGAUAAGUAAUCCGCCUGGGGAGUACGUACGCAAGUAUGAAACUCAAAGGAAUUGACGGGGACCCGCACAAGCGGUGGAGCAUGUGGUUUAAUUCGACGCAACGCGAGGAACCUUACCAGCGUUUGACAUC